UCGUGAUCAAAUGAUACAUUGUUACCAAGGACGACAACGUUUAUCAAGUGUUGGGUAUAAAAUACCCCCCAGCCGAAGUUCGUGUCAGGAGUAACCCUCCAGGGAUUCUAUCGACGUCUGACCUUCGACGACAUCUUUUCAAACCUCUUCGACGGCCGAGCCUCCGCAAUGUUCCCGAGUUCUUUCGAUGGGUAAACCCCCACCAAUGUCGAUCGGAUUCUCCACGACGGACGAACUCCAUCCAAGUAUCUACGGUGGUCGACCACCUUCUAGACUUCAUCCGGGCUCCCAUGGGAGUUGGACAUCCGGGCUCCUACGGGAGCCGGACUUCUUCCCUGAACCCCGGGUGCAGGUAGCCUUCGUCCGGGCUCCUACGGG
This 378-nucleotide long non-coding RNA is filed under the name Elaeis guineensis (African oil palm). RNAcentral describes it as "long non-coding RNA (EGUI_LNC060282)". The record is from RNAcentral. Lineage: Eukaryota; Viridiplantae; Streptophyta; Magnoliopsida; Arecales; Arecaceae.